UGCCGAGGAAACCCUCAGGGGCAGCUGUG
RNAcentral lists this non-coding RNA (29 nucleotides) under Homo sapiens (human). The record is from RNAcentral. Lineage: Eukaryota; Metazoa; Chordata; Mammalia; Primates; Hominidae.